ACGAACGCUGGCGGCGUGCCUAAUACAUGCAAGUAGAACGCACAGUUUAUACCGUAGCUUGCUACACCAUAAACUGUGAGUUGCGAACGGGUGAGUAACGCGUAGGUAACCUGCCUGGUAGCGGGGGAUAACUAUUGGAAACGAUAGCUAAUACCGCAUAAUAUUGAUUAUUGCAUGAUAAUUGAUUGAAAGAUGCUAUUGCAUCACUACCAGAUGGACCUGCGUUGUAUUAGCUAGUAGGUGAGGUAACGGCUCACCUAGGCGACGAUACAUAGCCGACCUGCGAGGGUGAUCGGCCACACUGGGACUGAGACACGGCCCAGACUCCUACGGGAGGCAGCCGUAGGGAAUCUUCGGCAAUGGACGAAAGUCUGACCGAGCAACGCCGCGUGAGUGAAGAAGGUUUUCGGAUCGUAAAGCUCUGUUGUAAGAGAAGAACGGGUGUGAGAGUGGAAAGUUCACACUGUGACGGUAUCUUACCAGAAAGGGACGGCUAACUACGUG
RNAcentral lists this ribosomal RNA (504 nucleotides) under uncultured bacterium. RNAcentral describes it as "partial 16S ribosomal RNA". It matches the Rfam family "Bacterial small subunit ribosomal RNA", at positions 29 to 507 of the family's 1533-position model. The record is from RNAcentral.